This is a long non-coding RNA of Gracilinanus agilis (Agile Gracile Mouse Opossum), 844 nucleotides long. RefSeq lists it as uncharacterized. NCBI's taxonomy places the organism in Eukaryota, Metazoa, Chordata, Mammalia, Didelphimorphia, Didelphidae. The transcript is spliced from 3 exons. The record is from RefSeq and is a predicted model, not a curated record.
AUGUUUCUUGAUAAUGAAGGCAUUUCCAAUUUUAACUUUGAUACCUUCAUAAUCUCCAAUAUCACUGAGACAGAUAGCAUACCACUACAAAACAAAAAAAGAAAGAAAACAAGUAUGAUCUCUCCACUUCUGUCCAGUGGCCUUCUCAGGAUGACAACACUCUCAUCCCAAUGGUCUCUUCUUCUGGCAAAUAGGUUUUGCUGCGGUUAUCUCACACAUGAGAAACUGAGUAUAAUCCAUUGGAGGAAAAAAUGGUCAUUCAAUGAAAGACUUUCAAACGUUUCUGAUGAAAAGACCAGAGCUGAAUAGAAAACUUAUUCUCAAAUGCAAGACUCGAGAAAAGUAUAAAAAGGUAAACAAGGAAAAGAAAUCAUAAAAGAUUCAGUAAGAUUAAACUGUUUACAUCUCUACAUGGGAAGGUGCUACUUAUAAAUCUUAAGAUCUUUAUCAUUAUUAAAGCAGUUAGAAGGAGUAUAAAUAGAAAGCAAGAGUGUAUGAGAGAAUGUGGGAGACAAAGGAAGUAGGGAGGGGAGCACUUGAACCUUACUUACUCUCAUUAGAACUGGCUCAAAGAAGGAAGAAUAUGCGUACUCAAUUGGGUACAGAAAUUGAUCUUAACCCAUAGGAGAGUAGGAGGGGAAAGGGAUAAGAAAGGGGAUGGGGGAGGUUGAUAGAAGAGAGGGCAAAUGGGGGUAGGCAGUGGUCAGAAGCAAAACACAUCUGAGGAUAGACAGAAUGAAAGGAGAGAGAGUAAGAUAAAACAAAGAGAAAAACACGUUGGAGGGUAAUACCCAGUAAUCAUAAUGUUGAAAAAAAUUUUUCACAAGUCUACUAAAGGUCUUAU